AGUGAACGCUGGCGGUAGGCCUAACACAUGCAAGUCGAACGGCAGCACAGUAAGAGCUUGCUCUUACGGGUGGCGAGUGGCGGACGGGUGAGGAAUACAUCGGAAUCUACUUUUUCGUGGGGGAUAACGUAGGGAAACUUACGCUAAUACCGCAUACGACCUACGGGUGAAAGCAGGGGAUCUUCGGACCUUGCGCGAUUGAAUGAGCCGAUGUCGGAUUAGCUAGUUGGCGGGGUAAAGGCCCACCAAGGCGACGAUCCGUAGCUGGUCUGAGAGGAUGAUCAGCCACACUGGAACUGAGACACGGUCCAGACUCCUACGGGAGGCAGCAGUGGGGAAUAUUGGACAAUGGGCGAAAGCCUGAUCCAGCCAUACCGCGUGGGUGAAGAAGGCCUUCGGGUUGUAAAGCCCUUUUGUUGGGAAAGAAAAGCAGCAGGUUAAUACCCCGCUGUUCUGACGGUACCCAGAGAAUAAGCACCGGCUAACUUCGUG
Molecule: ribosomal RNA, 492 nt
Filed under: uncultured bacterium
Lineage: Bacteria
Description: partial 16S ribosomal RNA
Rfam family: Bacterial small subunit ribosomal RNA
Source: RNAcentral